This 391-nucleotide ribosomal RNA is filed under the name Pseudomonas aeruginosa. Its description in RNAcentral is "bacterial SSU rRNA". It matches the Rfam family "Bacterial small subunit ribosomal RNA", at positions 11 to 405 of the family's 1533-position model. The record is from RNAcentral. Lineage: Bacteria; Pseudomonadati; Pseudomonadota; Gammaproteobacteria; Pseudomonadales; Pseudomonadaceae.
GUUUGAUCCUGGCUCAGAUUGAACGCUGGCGGCAGGCCUAACACAUGCAAGUCGAGCGGAUGAAGGGAGCUUGCUCCUGGAUUCAGCGGCGGACGGGUGAGUAAUGCCUAGGAAUCUGCCUGGUAGUGGGGGAUAACGUCCGGAAACGGGCGCUAAUACCGCAUACGUCCUGAGGGAGAAAGUGGGGGAUCUUCGGACCUCACGCUAUCAGAUGAGCCUAGGUCGGAUUAGCUAGUUGGUGGGGUAAAGGCCUACCAAGGCGACGAUCCGUAACUGGUCUGAGAGGAUGAUCAGUCACACUGGAACUGAGACACGGUCCAGACUCCUACGGGAGGCAGCAGUGGGGAAUAUUGGACAAUGGGCGAAAGCCUGACCAGCCAUGCCGCGUGUG